This 445-nucleotide ribosomal RNA is filed under the name uncultured bacterium. RNAcentral describes it as "partial 16S ribosomal RNA". It matches the Rfam family "Bacterial small subunit ribosomal RNA", at positions 330 to 792 of the family's 1533-position model. The record is from RNAcentral.
UCCAGACUCCUACGGGAGGCAGCAGUGGGGAAUAUUGCACAAUGGGGGAAACCCUGAUGCAGCAACGCCGCGUGGGUGAAGAAGUAUUUCGGUAUGUAAAGCCCUCUCAGCAGGGAAGAGGAUGACGGUACCUGACUAAGAAGCCCCGGCUAACUACGUGCCAGCAGCCGCGGUAAUACGUAGGGGGCAAGCGUUAUCCGGAUUUACUGGGUGUAAAGGGAGCGUAGACGGCGAUGCAAGUCUGAAGUGAAAGGCGGGGGCCCAACCCCCGGACUGCUUUGGAAACUGUAUGGCUGGAGUGCAGGAGAGGUAAGUGGAAUUCCUAGUGUAGCGGUGAAAUGCGUAGAUAUUAGGAGGAACACCAGUGGCGAAGGCGGCCUGCUGGACGAUGACUGACGUUGAGGCUCGAAAGCGUGGGGAGCAAACAGGAUUAGAUACCCCGGUA